UAGGGAAUCUUCCACAAUGGACGAAAGUCUGAUGGAGCAACGCCGCGUGAGUGAAGAAGGGUUUCGGCUCAUAAAACUCUGUUGUUAAAGAAGAACAUAUCUGAGAGUAACUGUUCAGGUAUUGACGGUAUUUAACCAGAAAGCCACGGCUAACUACGUGCCAC
RNAcentral lists this ribosomal RNA (164 nucleotides) under uncultured bacterium. Its description in RNAcentral is "partial 16S rRNA". It matches the Rfam family "Bacterial small subunit ribosomal RNA", at positions 355 to 511 of the family's 1533-position model. The record is from RNAcentral.